AGGCAUGGUAGCGUGUGCCUGUAGUCCCAGCUAUUCGGGAAGCUGAGGUGGGAGCAUUGCUUGAGCCCAGGAGUUCUGGGCUGUAGUGUGCUAUGCCGAUUGGGUGUCCGAACUAAGUUUGGCAUCAAUAUGGUGACCUCCUGGGAUCAGGGGACCACCAGGUUGCCUAAGGAGGGGUGAACCGGCCCAGGUUGGAAAUGAAGCAGGUCAAAAUUCCUGUGCUGAUCAGUAGUGGGAUUGCGCCUGUGAAUAGCCACUGCACUCCAGCCUAAGCAACAUAGUGAGACUGCGUCUCUG
Molecule: unclassified non-coding RNA, 297 nt
Organism: Callithrix jacchus (white-tufted-ear marmoset)
Lineage: Eukaryota; Metazoa; Chordata; Mammalia; Primates; Cebidae
Rfam family: Metazoan signal recognition particle RNA
About the family: The signal recognition particle (SRP) is a universally conserved ribonucleoprotein.
Source: Ensembl